Molecule: long non-coding RNA, 2310 nt
Organism: Armigeres subalbatus
Lineage: Eukaryota; Metazoa; Arthropoda; Insecta; Diptera; Culicidae
Exons: 4
Source: RefSeq, a predicted model, not a curated record
GAAUUGCAGUUAAAAAGCAUUGCAGUUAAAUGACUUGCAGUUAUCGAACGUCUGCUGUACGAUACAACGAUAUACGAUACAACGAACAGCUUUUAAAUAAUAAUAAAAUGUCAGACAAUCUUCGCACAUACGUGGCGCCGCUAUUUAUUACAGACAGCGUUAACCCAAGUGCAACAUAUACGUUCUGGGAAGCGUUAAAAUGAAGCCAAAUGUUCAUCCUGCUAGCAGCAAAUCGCUGAUUCUUGGCUCUUUGGCGCGGUAUCCUCUGCGAAUGCUAGUGAACUACUCCGCGAAACACCGCAUACUUCAUCAGCAGUCAUCAUCGGCCGGAAGAUCCAUCGUCGAGUGUAAAUCGACAGCAGCUCUAACCAAACUUCCGAAUCCGGCAUUGCUAUAUUCUACGGAACCAGCUUUACAAAUAAGUUAAUAAUGCAAGAAAUUGUUACUCCGUCAGUAACACCGGAAGGCAAACAUCAUGUAGCCUGAUCUAUCGGAGCCGAUUUUGCGAGAUCGCGAGUUAACGAAUCAACUAACAGAUUGUCGGAUGAUGAGGAGAUCAAAAUCAAUCGGUUACUUUCGGUUAGAGUCGAGUCCGCUGAGACACGGUUGAUCCGGAUUGAAAGUGCCUGAUCGAACCAUCCGUCCUCCGGAUGCCGUUGGGAAAGAUCAGUUUGCGCAGUAUUCGAAAUAAGGUGUUUAUAAGUGAAAAUUGUUGACAUUUUAUAAAGAAAGGUCUUGUCGAGAGACACGUAUAUCCUAUACGUAUCUACGAUGGUAAAACUGGCAAAACGUUCGCAAACGUAUCCAUUGUAGAGGGCUCUUAAGGCCUCAGAGCGAAAUUGAAGAAGACAAAAAAUCGCAAUAUCUAAAAGUUUAUGUACUUUGAGGGAUGGUACUUUGAGGGAGGGUACUUGCACAAAACUUCACGCGGACUGUCGAAAGGUACGGCCGCGACAAACGAUACACCGCAAUGCUAUUCAUCCAUAAGAAUCAAGUAAACGGGGUGCAGAAAGCGCGGCGGUACCUUUCAUGAAAGGUUCGCCGCGUGCAAUUUUGAGAAAAUCAUCAGGCAAUAUACAAAAGCUGAUAAGUCGUUUUGAUAAUUUUGUAUUGAAUUAUUCUCCAAAUGAGACAUACCUAAUUUAUUCAGUGUAACGAACUGUCAGAUUUUUCCUGCAGGCACACAUGUGUGCGUGAAGGAUUUAACUUCGUGUCGCGAAUGGGAUAUUACUAUGUGGCGGAACAAAGAAGGAAUGAUUUAGGCUUUCAGCGAUCGUGUACGUACACGCACGUUUCACUCACACUUUUACUAGGUUUGUUUGCAACCACGAGCAGCUGUCACGGCAAAAUCAAAUGGCAUUGUUUGCCAAUGUCAUUUAUUUUAUACAGGUCCGGUUGAGCGUGCCCUUUGUGCGUAUUAGUAGCUCAAAAAGUGUAAACAUUUCUGAUCAGCUGAUUGCUGACGUCAAACUCACACCAAAUUUCAUUCAUGAGGUGUGAGUUUGACGUCACCGUUCUUUUGUUUCCGGCACCCAAGCCACCGCCGGCGUCGUGCGAAACGAACACUGUUACUGAUUCCGACAUUUCACGAACACGUUUGCGCUCUCUCGUCCGAACCUGUAUAAAAUCCAUAACAUUGAUUGUUUGCAACCACGAACCUGCGUUCGUGUUGGUGAGAAAUGUCGGCGAGACCCUAAUGGUUGACAGACAUCCUGACAGAUAGCAAUGAGUUUUUGCCAUAAGAGUGAGGAGAGGCAUUGCCUUCGUUCGCGAAUUGGCUCCCUGGUCUGCCUUCAAUGCUUUUCUGGUCAUUUUCGUCGUCAAAAACAGAGUCAAAGUUUUGUGCAGAUACCUAUUUUCCUUUCAAAGAAAAUUAGUUUAUUAAAUUACAUACCUUAAUAUAUCUAGAAACGUAUUAAAAGUGUGCAAAAUAGAAUUACGGGCUCAAUUGAUAUAGUCAAGAAAAGCUCGUUUGAUUGAAAUGUAGUUUCUUCGGUGACAUCCAGAAAUUCGGUGAUUUUCAACUUAAUCUGAGCAGUGGUGAACAAAAUUCCGUCAAGUAAAUAAACAGUACCCGGCCUAGUUUAAGAACCAGCCAACAUGUCUAUGCGAAGGCCGCGUGUAAAGGUUGCCGCGAAUCUCGCGAUUCGUCGACCUGCCAAAACUCCGACUACCACUUUCGGUGCCCGCAGAGGGAAAGAGAUAGCAAAGAAAAAGUACCCAUUAAUGAGUAAACGUGUUUCUCCGUGUGGUGAAACAAAACCAGUGAUCAAAUCGAUCCAUGAAACGCUCAGUAAUGAAAGCGAGAUC